UCGGGUAAAGGGCGUUACAAAAGAGGUCUUUAUCAAAGCCGUUUUACAAUCCAUUCCAACCUAGUCUAUGGCUUGUUUUUUGUUUCCUAAGUCUUGAUGCCAAGAGUUGGAGGGUAUAAUAGCUAAAUUUUUGUGGCAACAAAAAUCGAGGGAAAAAAGGAAUCCAUUGGAGUGCUUGGAAAGAUAUUUGUGUAGCAACAGAGGCAGGUGGACUUGGUUUUCAAAAACUCGAUAAAUUUAAUAUAGCAUUAUUAGCUAAACAGGGUUGGCGUCUUAUUAAUUAUCCGAAUUCUUUGCUAGCCUGUGUUUUGAAAGCUAAAUAUUAUCCAAAUGCGUAUUUUUUAACUGCCCUAUUAGGUAACUCACCUUCACUUAUCUGGAAGAGUAUCUGGUCGGCAAAAUGAGUGCUAGAAGGAGGGUUAUGUUGGAGGGUAGGCAAGGGGGAUCAAAUUUCUGUCUGGACGGAUCUUUGGAUUUCGGGCAAUGAAGAAGAUAGAUUGCAGCACCAACACAUAAAUGAUAAUUUCGUAUUAGUAUCGGAUCUGAUCGAUGAAGUUAAUAGAACAUGGAAAGUAGACUUAAUUGACAAUCCCUUCAGAGCGGAUUUAGCUAGAAAGAUCAAGUAGAUUCCUUUGGCAAGUGUAGCACAUGAAGACUUUCAAGUCUGAAAAGGAGAGCCUUCGGGUAAUUUUUCUGUCCGUACCGCCUACAAACUAUUACAGGAGGCUACUCUAAAUCCUAUUAUUAUACAGACUGAAACUAAAAGCUUUUUCAAGAAGCUAUGGAGUUUACAGAUGCCCUCGAAAGUUAAAGUUACAAUCUGAAGGAUAUCUUGGAAUUAAAUCCCAACUUUUGCUAAUCUGAAGCAAAGACGAGUUGUUUCUGAUGCUCGUUGUUCCCUGUGUCAACAGGAGGAGGAGGACUACUACCAUCUUCCGUAGCUGCCCUACAACAAUUGAAGUUUGGAGAUUUUUAAAGCUUUCUUGGAUAUUACAAAAUAACAUAGAAAGUGUAUGGAGCUGGUUAACCUGGGUAUUCAGUUAAGGGACAGAAGAACAGAGUCGCCUUUUUUGUUGUGGGCUUUGGAUAAUCUGGGCAAGUAGAAAUAAGUUAAUAUACGAAAACAAACACUCAACAAGCAGGAGCAUUUCAUUAUAAAUUCUAAAUUAUGUGUUAGAACUAAAAGGAGUUGAGGAGAAAAAACUUACCAUAGACACUAGCAUGGUUCCUAAGUCUGACAAAAGAAGACCGACUGUGACGAUUUACUUUGAUGCGGCUUUUGAUCAACAACUCUCAAGAUCUGUUUCGGGGCUAGUUGUUCGAAAUGAGGAGGGGAAAAUAUUGGCCUCCAAGUCAGUCAUACAUUCCAAUAUUGCAACUUCAUUUGCGGCCGAAGCACAUGCAGGGUUACAAGCUUCAUUUUUAGGAAUAUCUAUGGGGUUUAAUGUUUUGCAAGUAAUAGGAGAUUCAAGAACGGUUAUUUCAAAGUGCAAAAGUUCAGAACAUGACAGAUCGGUGAUUGGAGCUAUUAUUCGAGACAUUCAGAAUACAAAAAGCCACUUUCAAAACCUUAGAUUUCAUUUUGUUCCUAGAUCAGAAAACAUAUUUGCUCAUUUUGUUGCAGUAGAGGCAUUAAAGAAGGGGGAAGGUCAUUACCUGGUCGGAGAUAUUCCCAGAUCCGUCCGUUGUGCUGUGGAGAGGAAGCGUCCGAGGCAUCUAGACUAAAAGAGAAGGAGUGGUUUGAAAAUGUAGCAGAAAACUAAAAGAUAUGAGGAGAUCUGCUACCAUUAAGGCUGUGUCGGUGAUGGGAAAUGAAAUGACUUAAUGGAGGCCAGCUGUCUAUCGACUGAAUUUUGAAUAGGUUUUCUUUCUUGUCAUUUGAUUAGGUUCUCUUUUUGUCGAUUUGUUUCUAUUUUAGGCUUUGGGCCAGUCUGUGUA
This 1938-nucleotide long non-coding RNA is filed under the name Gossypium barbadense (sea-island cotton). RNAcentral's name for it is "long non-coding RNA (GBAR_LNC011939)". The record is from RNAcentral. Lineage: Eukaryota; Viridiplantae; Streptophyta; Magnoliopsida; Malvales; Malvaceae.